GACGAACGCUGGCGGCGUGCUUAACACAUGCAAGUCGAACGAUGAAGCGGGUGCUUGCACUCGUGGAUUAGUGGCGAGCGGGCGAGUAACACGUGAGUAACCUGUCCUUUUCUUUGGGAUAACGGCUGGAAACGGCUGCUAAUACUGGAUAUUCAGGCUGCAUCGCAUGGUGUGGUUUGGAAAGGUUUUUUCUGGGAUUGGGUGGGCUCGCGGCCUAUCAGCUUGUUGGUGGGGUGAUGGCUUACCAAGGCUUUGACGGGUAGCCGGCCUGAGAGGGUGGUCGGGCUCACAGGGACUGAGAUCCGGCCCAGACUACUACGGGAGGCAGCAGUGGGGAAGAUUGCACAAUGGAGGAAAGUUUGAUGCAGCGACGCCGCGUGGAGGGUGUAGGCCUUCGGGUUGUGAACUCCUUUUUCUCGCGAAAAAGGCACAGUUUUGGCUGUGUUGAUGGUAGUGGGGGAAGAAGCGCCGGCUAACUACGUG
Molecule: ribosomal RNA, 483 nt
Filed under: uncultured bacterium
Lineage: Bacteria
Description: partial 16S ribosomal RNA
Rfam family: Bacterial small subunit ribosomal RNA
Source: RNAcentral